RNAcentral lists this microRNA (23 nucleotides) under Octopus vulgaris (common octopus). RNAcentral's name for it is "Ovu-Mir-12498_3p (mature (guide))". Lineage: Eukaryota; Metazoa; Mollusca; Cephalopoda; Octopoda; Octopodidae. RNAcentral also lists the same sequence under 2 other names. The record is from RNAcentral.
UGGGGAUGCUGUGAAUGGUUCUU